GGAGAGGUGCCCGGAGUGGUUCAUCGGGGAUCGGAGCUCUGGCUCUGGUCGGGUGCAAGCCUGCGCAGGUUCGAAUCCUGCCUUCUCCG
RNAcentral lists this transfer RNA (89 nucleotides) under Kitasatospora atroaurantiaca. RNAcentral's name for it is "tRNA-Asn". It matches the Rfam family "tRNA". Rfam says of the family: Transfer RNA (tRNA) molecules are approximately 80 nucleotides in length. Lineage: Bacteria; Bacillati; Actinomycetota; Actinomycetes; Kitasatosporales; Streptomycetaceae. The record is from RNAcentral.